Molecule: long non-coding RNA, 705 nt
Organism: Musa acuminata AAA Group (dessert banana)
Lineage: Eukaryota; Viridiplantae; Streptophyta; Magnoliopsida; Zingiberales; Musaceae
Exons: 2
Source: RefSeq, a predicted model, not a curated record
UCCGUUCUCGAUCGUCGCUACCACUUGUGAUCAUAUUUAUUCAUCAUGGCAAACGUUCCAGCUAUGCAACUUCUCCAUGCCGCGAAGUUUGUGCUCAGCAUCGCCGCCGGGGGAUUUCUUCUCGUUUGCCAGCGGCCCAUGGACUUCCCUAAUUUUGUUGCCGCCAUGUACGUCCUGGUGACAGCAGCCUUCCUGCUGCUCUACUUCUCGCUGGGUCGUCCACAGCUGGGAUCGACAACGGCCAUCACCGCCGAUGGUUCCUGCGUUCCAACAGAACAACUUCUCAAAGCUGCCAAGUUCGUGCUCGCCAUCGCCACCGGAGGUUUUCUCCUUGUUUGCCAGUCGCCCGUGGACUACCCCAGUUAUGCCAUGACCAUGUACCUCCUGGUGAUCCUAAGCUUCCUCAUGCUCUACCUUUCCAUGUGUCGUUCACGACUGGGAUGGACAACGACAGCUGAUGGUUCCCAGCGAGCCACAAUUACUGUUCCUGCACGCCCUCCUUUCCCUCGCGCACCCUCGGUGAUCGUUUAAUAUUUCGGGUCGAUGUGCGUCACUUAUGGCGAAUUAGUUUCUGUUAGCUUGGAGUUCAGCAGUCGUUUGUGUUCGUUCUACUUUGCUCAGUCGUAGGUCCUAUUUCCACUAGUUGUGGUUGCACGAGACAAUUUGUUCUUGUAUCUUCCCACAGUAUGGCUUGAUCUUUGUUUU